This 490-nucleotide ribosomal RNA is filed under the name uncultured bacterium. Its description in RNAcentral is "partial 16S ribosomal RNA". It matches the Rfam family "Bacterial small subunit ribosomal RNA", at positions 30 to 507 of the family's 1533-position model. The record is from RNAcentral.
AUUGAACGCUGGCGGCAGGCCUAACACAUGCAAGUCGAACGGUAACAGGAAGAAGCUUGCUUCUUUGCUGACGAGCGGCGGACGGGUGAGUAAUGUCUGGGAAACUGCCUGAUGGAGGGGGAUAACUACUGGAAACGGUAGCUAAUACCGCAUAACGUCGCAAGACCAAAGAGGGGGACCUUCGGGCCUCUUGCCAUCGGAUGUGCCCAGAUGGGAUUAGCUAGUAGGUGGGGUAACGGCUCACCUAGGCGACGAUCCCUAGCUGGUCUGAGAGGAUGACCAGCCACACUGGAACUGAGACACGGUCCAGACUCCUACGGGAGGCAGCAGUGGGGAAUAUUGCACAAUGGGCGCAAGCCUGAUGCAGCCAUGCCGCGUGUAUGAAGAAGGCCUUCGGGUUGUAAAGUACUUUCAGCGGGGAGGAAGGGAGUAAAGUUAAUACCUUUACUCAUUGACGUUACCCGCAGAAGAAGCACCGGCUAACUCCGUG